UACGUAGGCAGCGAGCGUUGUUCGGAGUUACUGGGCGUAAAGGGUGUGUAGGCGGUUCUCUAAGUUUGGUGUGAAAUCUCCCGGCUCAACCGGGAGGGUGCGCCGAAAACUGGAGGGCUAGAGUGCGGGAAGGGAGAGUAGAAUUCCUGGUGUAGCAGUGAAAUGCGUAGAUAUCAGGAGGAAUACCGGUGGUGCAGACGGCUCUCUGGACCGCGACUGACGCUGAGACACGAAAGCGUGGGUAGCAAACAGG
This 253-nucleotide ribosomal RNA is filed under the name uncultured bacterium. Its description in RNAcentral is "partial 16S ribosomal RNA". It matches the Rfam family "Bacterial small subunit ribosomal RNA", at positions 524 to 776 of the family's 1533-position model. The record is from RNAcentral.